UACGGGGGGGGCAAGCGUUGUUCGGAAUUACUGGGCGUAAAGGGCUUGUAGGUGGCCAACUAAGUCAGACGUGAAAUCCCUCGGCUUAACCGGGGAACUGCGUCUGAUACUGGAUGGCUUGAGUGUGGGAGAGGGAUGCGGAAUUCCAGGUGUAGCGGUGAAAUGCGUAGAUAUCUGGAAGAACACCGGUGGCGCAAGCGGAUUGCUGGGCCAUAACUGACACUGAGGAACGAAAGCUAGGGGAGCGAAUGGG
RNAcentral lists this ribosomal RNA (253 nucleotides) under uncultured bacterium. RNAcentral's name for it is "partial 16S ribosomal RNA". It matches the Rfam family "Bacterial small subunit ribosomal RNA", at positions 524 to 776 of the family's 1533-position model. The record is from RNAcentral.